RNAcentral lists this long non-coding RNA (349 nucleotides) under Solanum lycopersicum (tomato). RNAcentral's name for it is "long non-coding RNA (SLYC_LNC000826)". The record is from RNAcentral. Lineage: Eukaryota; Viridiplantae; Streptophyta; Magnoliopsida; Solanales; Solanaceae.
GAUGAAGACUGUGGUUUAUUCUCUUUUGGGGGUUUAUGCGGAUCACCGUAAGACGGUGCUCCGGCGCCGUAGGGAGACGGAACGGGAGCGUAAGGGGAGUGAGAUUGAGGAGGUGGAGCACCGUAGGGUGAUGGUGGAGCACCGUAAGGUGAUGGUGAAGCACCGUAGGGUGAUGCUGAAGACGGUGGUGGAGCACCGUAAGGUGAAGCUGAAGACGGCGGUGGAGCACCGUAUGGGGUGGAGGAGUACGGCUGAGAUGACGGUGGCUGGCCGUAACCGUAGCCGGGAACAUUGUGCGGGUAACCGGACAUUUUUGAAAAGCUAGAGAGAGAAAAUUAAAAAGAUAAAU